Molecule: ribosomal RNA, 254 nt
Filed under: uncultured bacterium
Lineage: Bacteria
Description: partial 16S ribosomal RNA
Rfam family: Bacterial small subunit ribosomal RNA
Source: RNAcentral
GACGUAGGGCGCGAGCGUUGUCCGGAUUUAUUGGGCGUAAAGAGCUCGUAGGCGGUUUGUCGCGUCUGCUGUGAAAACUGGAGGCUCAACCUCCAGCCUGCAGUGGGUACGGGCAGACUAGAGUGCGGUAGGGGGAGAUUGGAAUUCCUGGUGUAGCGGUGGAAUGCGCAGAUAUCAGGAGGAACACCGAUGGCGAAGGCAGAUCUCUGGGCCGUAACUGACGCUGAGGAGCGAAAGCAUGGGGAGCGAACAGG